GAGCAGCCGUCACGUCUGAUUAACUCACUAUUAGCCAUAACCCUCAUAAUCCGGGAUAUUAUUUCGACACAUCGUUUUUGGGUCGUUCUCGGUGAGUGACAAAGUCCCACAGUUGGGACUAAGAAGCAGCCAUGGAUGUUAUGAGCCAGUUGCAGAGACAGUGGCUUGAACACUCGGCUUUUCUGCGUAAGGAGGGAUAUUUGGACGACCAGUUUGAACAACUUCAGAAACUGCAAGACGAGAGCAGCCCAGAUUUUGUGAUCGAGGUUGUGUCUAUUUUCUUUGAUGAUUCUGAAAAACUCCUCAGCAAUAUGGCCAGAGCUCUAGAACAGAAAGUUGUGGAUUUCAAACAGGUAGAUGCCCAUGUUCAUCAGUUCAAGGGGAGUAGUGCCAGCAUCGGUGCCAUGAGAGUUAAAAAUGUGUGCAUCGAGUUCAGAAAUUACUGUGAGGCACAGAACCUUGAAGAGUGUUUGAGAUGUACACGGAAACUGCAAUUUGAAUACUCUGUACUGAAAAACCAGCUUGAAUAUUUAUUCAGGCUGGAGCAACAGAUCCGAGCUGCUGGUGGGUAGUCUUGAUCUUAUCCCAUGAAGGCUGGAAAAAGAAGUGAAGGAUUUGAUGUUACAGAUUAUUUAUAUUAAUGUAGAAAGUAUAUUCUCAGACUUACGAAGAUUUAUGUUGAAAGCUUCUACGAGAGAAAAAUGCUAAUGGGAAUUUUCAUUUGCAAGCCUCCAAGAAUCACAGGUUCAUGUUAGCAAUUAACUUUUAUAUACACUGCACAAAUUCAUGGCACUAAAGGUGAUUGAAAGCAGUGUAGAAUUUUAUAAUGGCUGUGGUCCUGAGACGGUUGUAACAAUUGCAGCAGCUUGCUCAGUUAUUGAGCAUGCUACCAAGGUCAUGAUGGUCCCAUUUUAAUGGGAUGUUUCUCUAGAUAUACAUCUAUAGUAUAAUUUUCUUUGUUAGUUCCUUACCAGGGCAUCUUGUUAAUUACCUGACAUUUCUGGAUGGAGUGAUUGACCUUUAGUUCAAGUGCCUAAAUGAUGGAGAUUUGACUCAGAAAAUCUCAAAUAACAACCAGCUGAGGAAUA
Molecule: RNA transcript, 1088 nt
Organism: Juglans microcarpa x Juglans regia
Lineage: Eukaryota; Viridiplantae; Streptophyta; Magnoliopsida; Fagales; Juglandaceae
Gene name: histidine-containing phosphotransfer protein 1-like
Exons: 7
Source: RefSeq, a predicted model, not a curated record